AGGGUUGUAGUUCAGUGGUAGAGCAUCUGCUCUGUGUCCAGAAGCUCCCCGGUUCAAUUCCAGGCAGCUCCA
RNAcentral lists this transfer RNA (72 nucleotides) under Sphaerodactylus townsendi. RNAcentral's name for it is "tRNA-Thr". It matches the Rfam family "tRNA". Rfam says of the family: Transfer RNA (tRNA) molecules are approximately 80 nucleotides in length. Their secondary structure includes four short double-helical elements and three loops (D, anti-codon, and T loops). The record is from RNAcentral. Lineage: Eukaryota; Metazoa; Chordata; Lepidosauria; Squamata; Sphaerodactylidae.